RNAcentral lists this transfer RNA (73 nucleotides) under Lachnospiraceae bacterium. Its description in RNAcentral is "tRNA-Ala". It matches the Rfam family "tRNA". From Rfam's summary of the family: Transfer RNA (tRNA) molecules are approximately 80 nucleotides in length. The record is from RNAcentral. Lineage: Bacteria; Bacillati; Bacillota; Clostridia; Lachnospirales; Lachnospiraceae.
GGGGGUAUAGCUCAGUUGGGAGAGCGCUUGAAUGGCAUUCAAGAGGUCAUGAGUUCGAAUCUCACUAUCUCCA